This 349-nucleotide transfer-messenger RNA is filed under the name Feifania hominis. RNAcentral describes it as "Standard tmRNA". It matches the Rfam family "transfer-messenger RNA". From Rfam's summary of the family: Bacterial tmRNA, also known as 10Sa RNA or SsrA, is named for its dual tRNA and mRNA-like properties. Its role is to liberate the mRNA from a stalled ribosome. The record is from Rfam by way of RNAcentral. Lineage: Bacteria; Bacillati; Bacillota; Clostridia; Eubacteriales; Feifaniaceae.
GGGGGCGUAAUGGCUUCGACGGGGGUCUUGCAGCCGGGAUAGCGAGCCGAGAUUUACGGGAUCUCGUAAAACACCGUAAUUUAAACACAAACGCUAAUAACAGAACAUUAGCCGCGGCCUAAUUUAGGCUGCCGUCCCACCCGGGAGUACUGCGGCCCGGGCUGGGGCGUCGAUGAGCAGUGAACGUGCGCCGGGUAAGAUUUGCCCCGGCCAUGAACCAUGAAUCUACCGACCGCACAAGCCCGCUCUUUGGCGUGUGCGCGGGGGAAUCCCAAACAUAGAGCUACGCUCGUAGAGGUCCCCGUGAAUGGACUUUCGGACAGGGGUUCAACUCCCCUCGCCUCCACCA